Molecule: non-coding RNA, 107 nt
Organism: Gossypium hirsutum (cotton)
Lineage: Eukaryota; Viridiplantae; Streptophyta; Magnoliopsida; Malvales; Malvaceae
Source: Rfam
AACCCAUGGUGAUGGCACCUUCUCAAAAGGUUUUUGUAUCUCUCCCAUGCAUCGUAGAGUGUUUCUAAAUCCAUCUGCACAAAAGAAGAGAUAUCAUUAUUUAAUUU